CCUACGGGUGGUAGCAGUGGGGAAUAUUGGACAAUGGGCGAAAGCCUGAUCCAGCCAUGCCGCGUGUGUGAAGAAGGCCUUCGGGUUGUAAAGCACUUUCAGUGGGGAAGAAAGCCUUGGGGCUAAUACCCUCGAGGAAGGACAUCACCCACAGAAGAAGCACCGGCUAACUCCGUGCCAGCAGCCGCGGUAAUACGGAGGGUGCGAGCGUUAAUCGGAAUUACUGGGCGUAAAGCGCGCGUAGGCGGUCUGAUAAGCCGGUUGUGAAAGCCCCGGGCUCAACCUGGGAACGGCAUCCGGAACUGUCAGGCUAGAGUGCAGGAGAGGAAGGUAGAAUUCCCGGUGUAGCGGUGAAAUGCGUAGAGAUCGGGAGGAAUACCAGUGGCGAAGGCGGCCUUCUGGACUGACACUGACGCUGAGGUGCGAAAGCGUGGGUAGCAAACAGGAUUAGAUACCUUGUAGUC
RNAcentral lists this ribosomal RNA (464 nucleotides) under Vreelandella stevensii. RNAcentral's name for it is "partial 16S ribosomal RNA". It matches the Rfam family "Bacterial small subunit ribosomal RNA", at positions 338 to 795 of the family's 1533-position model. Lineage: Bacteria; Pseudomonadati; Pseudomonadota; Gammaproteobacteria; Oceanospirillales; Halomonadaceae. The record is from RNAcentral.